CCUACGGGAGGCAGCAGUGGGGAAUAUUGCACAAUGGGCGAAAGCCUGAUGCAGCAACGCCGCGUGAAGGAAGAAGGGUUUCGGCUCGUAAACUUCUAUCAACAGGGACGAAAGAAAUGACGGUACCUGAAUAAGAAGCCUCGGCUAACUACGUGCCAGCAGCCGCGGUAAUACGUAGGGGGCAAGCGUUAUCCGGAAUUACUGGGUGUAGAGGGUGAGUAGGGGGCAUGGUAAGCCAGAUGUGAAAGCCGUGGGCUAAACCAGAGGAUUGCAUGUGAAACUAUCAAGCUAGAGUACAGUAGAGGUAAGCGGAAUUCCUAGUGUAGCGGUGAAAUGCGUAGAUAUUAGGAAGAACACCAGUGGCGAAGGCAGCUUUCUGGGCUGAAACUGACACUGAGGCACGAAAGCGUGGGGAGCGAACAGGAUUAGAUACCCUUGUAGUC
Molecule: ribosomal RNA, 443 nt
Filed under: uncultured bacterium
Lineage: Bacteria
Description: partial 16S ribosomal RNA
Rfam family: Bacterial small subunit ribosomal RNA
Source: RNAcentral